AGCCUGGCCAACUUAGUGACUUAGCAGGACCUUGUCUCAAAAAUAAAAAUAAAUGGUAUACCACCACCACCACCACCCCCACUGCUAAAUUUGACUGGCUUUAA
RNAcentral lists this non-coding RNA (104 nucleotides) under Cavia porcellus (domestic guinea pig). The record is from RNAcentral. Lineage: Eukaryota; Metazoa; Chordata; Mammalia; Rodentia; Caviidae.